Oncorhynchus mykiss (rainbow trout) is the source of this 7176-nucleotide long non-coding RNA. NCBI's taxonomy places the organism in Eukaryota, Metazoa, Chordata, Actinopteri, Salmoniformes, Salmonidae. The record is from Ensembl.
AUGUCAGAGAGCAUCGUUAGGAAGGUACAACCCUUCACCAUCGGAACCAGGCUCUCCGUCUCUGGACCUUCCACCAGGUCUAAAGGUCCAAACUUCCCCCAGCAGCCGUCCUGGCAGAGCGACCGGGUCUCCCUCUACCUCAGCCAGGUGCAGGUGAGUGUGGCUACUCCUCAUCUAGCUCCCCUUGCUAACCGGACCACCCCAACAUCUGUACCUGUUAAACAGCAGCAGGAGGACAUAUCUACCCAGGACCACCGGAACCAGAAUACCAUGUCUGUGUCUCCCAACUCCCACCGGAGCUCUGUCUCUCCUACCGCCACUUCCAGAUCCAUCAGCAAGAUCACCAUCUCUGGGAGCCCAGAGGACAGCUCCUGGAGGAGACAGGAGGAGUCAGACCACAGGGUGGUUAUUGAGAAGGAGGACAGCUCCUGGAGGAGACAGGAGGAGUCAGACCACAGGGUGGUCAUUGAGAAGGAGGACAGCUCCUGGAGGAGACAGGAGGAGUCAGACCACAGGGUGGUCAUUGAGAAGGAGGACAGCUCCUGGAGGAGACAGGAGGAGUCAGACCACAGGGUGGUCAUUGAGAAGGAGGACAGCUCCUGGAGGACACAGGAGGAGUCAGACCACAGGGUGGUCAGUAUAGGACCAGGACCGGGACGACCCCCUGUCACAGGAACUCCCGGAUCAGAAAACAUCAACAACAACAACAACAACAUCAGCAGCUCCAAGCAACAGCUGCCCAGAAUAGUGGGAGUCAGCUGUGAGAACCAACCCAGCUCACAUAUUAAGGACCAUGGCAGCAUGUUUGGGUUCCUACAGACAUUGGGGCCCAGAGCAAGGUCCCCAAGGAAAGACAGAGAUGCUGAGACAGUAGUGGUAGCCCAGAAUGACAGCUACACCCAACGCACUUCCCUCUUUAACCAGGAAGUACUACAGGAGGGUAGAGGGUUAAUCAGAGCCCAGCACCCCGGCAACUCUAAGAUCCAGGACUUCUUGAUUCGGCUGGAGGAGUUAUGGGAGGAGCUAAGGAGACGACAUCACAGGAACCAGGUCUACCUGCAGGCAGGGGAGGAGAUGAGCUUUAGGACAGUACAUCUCCUCCAGGCCUUGGGUAGUAUAGAAGCCUGGUUGGAGGCAGCAGAGCUGUCCAUGUCGAACUCCCAGUUGGCAGUAGACCCAGAGACCAUGAGGCUGGCUGAGAGAGACAGCUGCCUGCUCCAGACAGAGAUGUCCUGCCGGGGAAUGGAGCUAACAGCACUCAGACAGGAGAUGGACAGGCUGGGUGGUCAGCGGGAGGGUCAGUGCCCAGGAUACCCCAACACUGAGGGCCUUCAGGUGCCACAACACCACACACAGGUCCUCCCAGAUCUUAUGGACCAGGUGGAGAGAAAGUACCAACGUGUCCAGACCGCGUUGACCCAGCAGAGUUCGUCGCUGCAGGACACCAGGAUGCUGACAGAGUUUCUGGAGCGGGUGGAGCUAGAGGAGAGGGUGGAGCUAGAGGAGACCCAGAAGGCCAGGGGGAGGGGCUACAGCAGUAACCUUGGACAGCCUCUCCACGGUGAGAUCAGCUCAGCUCUUACCCUGCUGGGUGAUGGGUGUGGAAGCGGUGGUGGGGAGCCAAUGAUGGAGCCGCUGGGAAACCCUGUAGAGGAGCUGCAGGAGGCAGUGGAGAUGUUGAAUGACACGGUCAGAGAGAGAGGACGAUCACAGAAUCACAUCCAUGAUCAAGCCAUCCAGACUAUGAUCCGACAGCUGGCUGUGCUGUCAGUGCGUGUGGAGGACAGUCUGUGCUGCAGUAGAAAGCUGAACCAGGAACUCCUACAGAGAGAGAAAGACAUGGCCAUGCGCUGUGAACCAGAACAAUGUGGACUAGAGGGACUGAAGGAACAGCAAGAAAACCUAGAGGUGAAUUAUGCUGUGCUGAAGGAAGAGGUGGAGGAGCUCCAGAGACAGACUGGUUAUCUGGAGGAGCUAUGCCCAGAGAGAGUGACCUUCCUGGCGGUGGAGGUGCAGGGAGCCCUGGGGGUAUGGAGGGAAUUGAGGAGGAACGUAGAGGGGAACAGAGACAGAUUACGACAGUUUGUUCACCUGCAGGACUUCUUCAGGACCUACCUGGCCAUGAUAUCGUGGAUGGAGGACACCCGGGAGUGUAUUUUCUCUGAGAGAGUGUUGCAUUGUGGGAGGGACGACCAGGAGCCAAUGGCUGCGGUGAUGGAGAUGGACGUCCAGAUAGACAGAAAGUUGGAGGAGUUGGAGGAGAUGGAUGCUGCAGGGAGGAACCUGCUGAACGCUGAGCACCACCUGGCCAACAUGAUCCAUGAGCGUCUGGAGGAGUUGAGGUCCAUGCUGGGAUGGAUGCUGGUCCACUGGAGAAACCAGAAACACCAGAGGAGUCAACGCAGGAAUAACGAGACUGAACCUAAUGAAGAUCUUAUCGACUCUGAGCCCCCAACAGAGCAGACUUCUGGAGAUAAUAUCUACUCAAAGACCACAGUAGAGUCCACUAGAGACAACAUCUACUCAGAGACCACAGUAGAGUCCACUAGAGACAACAUCUACUCAGAGACCACAGUAGAGUCCACUAGAGACAACAUCUACUCAGAGACCACAGUAGAGUCCACUAGAGACAACAUCUACUCAGAGACCACAGUAGAGUCCACUAGAGACAACAUCUACUCAGAGACCACAGGAGCAGAUAUCUACACAGAUGAUACAGCCUGCUCCACCCACAGUACCCCUGCUCAGCCAGAGACCCACAGUACCCCUGCUCAGCCAGAGACCCACUUUACCCCUGAACUGAGUGUCUUUGAGGACAGACUGAGGAAAAUAGACACUCUGUACUGUCCCGCAACAGACCAGCAAAGUUGGAAGGACCAAGAGGAUGGCUAUCAGGUGAUGAACAGCAACACAGGGCCUCUAAGGGGCCUCACCUCUCCCCCAGAGACCCACCAAUCCCCCUGCCUGGUCUUAAAAGAGCCCAGCAGCCCAGCCCUCUGCCUGGGGGGCACCAUGAGCCUAGGGGGCACCUCAGUCAACAGCAGCCCUAAGGUUAGAAUGGGGGGGCAGGGGGUUAGCUUGGUGGGCCAGGGGGUUCGCCUGGGGAACCAGGGGGGAAUGGUCUACCUAGGGGGCACCGUCAAGAACAGCCCUACCCUCAGCCUUGGAGGCAGUGUGGACCUGGGGGGUACUGUCAAUCUCAUCCUCAGCUUGGGGAACCAAGGAGACAGUCAUGUGGAGGUGAUGGAGGCUAAUCCUAGGGUGGGUGAGGAGGAGAGCACAGAGCCUGUCCACAGGCCACCUAAAACCUUUUGGAGGUGCUGCCAGGGUCUGUGGGAAAAUACUCUGGGUAGUUUAAAGAGAAAGAUUUAUCGCCAGAGUGCAGAACAGGACAACAACAUGACAUCAGCUCCUGCAUACGAGAGUAUUUUACUGCCCCGCCUCCACACCAAGACCUCCUCCUCUUCAUCCCCCUCCUCCUCCUCCGGGGCUCCUCAAUCUUGCGUCUCUUUCUCCUCCUCCCUGCCCAAGAACACCUCCAUCUUCUCUAGUCUGAAGAUAAGGAGCAAGAAGAGGAGAAGGAAGAGAGACGCUGGCCGCCACACCAUUCAGAAAAUCAUGGUUGUAGAGGGGGAGGAGCAGACAGAGGUGGCAUGUCCUGCUGAAGCUGCACCCCAGCAAAUCACGCUGUACGACACCCAGACCUGGCCAAUGAAGGAGGGCCGGAGGAAGAAGAAGAGCCUAUUAAAGGCCGAGGGGGUGGGGCCAGGGCAGGGGGUGGAACUCGUGGACUACAUGGAUAACCCAUUGGCCAGGGAUAUUGAAGAUGAAUGUUCUGGGGUCUCCACUGUCAGCCCCUAUGCAGUGACAGAGGCAGUCUCUAUAGCUCCACCCAGGGGCCAGGUGAGGAGCCACUGCAGGUUCCUGUCUCUGGGGUCUGUUUUGACCUUCGACCUCUCCAAAGACAUGAGGUUGAUCCCCAGUAUACAGGAUGUCAUCACUAUAGGACUCCCAGAACACAGGGGAACCCCCAACCCAAACCUCAAUCCCAACCCUCACACAGAGACACAUGCAGCCCUCAGCUCUUUCAAACAUACCCGCUCCCCUCCCUCAGACACGCACAGAGGACCAGACAAUGAGGCCGUCACUACUUACAGAUAUGAAACAAUGACACAGAUACAGACACAGCCACUACUGACACUGACACUGACACAGCCACUACUGACAAAGACACAACCACUACCGACACAGACACAACCACUACUGACACAGAUACAGACACAGACACAACCAUUACUGACACAGACACAGCCACUACUGAGACAGACACCGACACAAAUACUAAAACAGACAAAGCCACUGACACAGGCUGUUCAGCUAGAGCCUCUGUCUAAUCUAGAUACAGAUUUUCCUCCUCCUCCUCCUCCUGCCCUGGAUGAGGACUGGGAUCAGAACGUAUCAAGCAAUGACCUAUCCCUAUCACAGAUCCAGACCGUACUCCAGGAGCCUGAGCAAGAGUGGUCGGAGCUCAUCUUCAGCAAGCAACCACCAAUCACAGCUUAUUGCCCAAAGAGUCCCACUCCAAUGAACCGAGACCAUUACAAUUACAUGGAAACGACCAUGGUUAGUAGAAGUCCUAUUGUAAAGAGCAAGGACCCCUGUCCCUCCUCAGCCUAUCAGAACCAUGAGAGCAAGGACCCCUGUCCCUCCUCAGCCUAUCAGAACCAUGAGCGCAAGGACCCCUGUCCCUCCUCAGCCUAUCAGAACCAUGAGCGCAAGGACCCCUGUCCCUCCUCAGCCUAUCAGAACCAUGAGCGCAAGGACCCCUGUCCAUCCUCAGCCUAUAAGAACCAUGAGAGCAAGGACCCCUGUCCCUCCUCAGCCUAUCAGAACCACGAGUGCCUCAUUCAGGACCUCAAUGGACACCAGUACCAUCAUAGGUUGAAGACCCAUAGAGAGAGUGUUGACCUCCAGGAGACCAGCCAGGCUUCUCAGAUGGUUGUGAAUCUGAAGGUCAGUGGGUUAGGGAGUAUGAUGCAAGACUCUAUGGACUCUGGCAUCUCUGGUGUCUCCAACUCUGGGAGCUUGAAGCUCAAUGCACCUGAUGUUCUCCAAGAGCCCCAGCCCAUGAGGACUGUGGUGGGGAGGCUAGUGUCUCUGGAGGAGGGGCGCAUGGAGGCUGUGUCCACACCCAGGGAAAAUCCCACAGAAACCCCAGCUCCUGCCCACCCAGAGACAAAAACAACACCCAGAAACAGACACCACCAGACAGAGACAGAACUCGACUCUGAUCCGCUCGACCCCGACCUCACCAUCCAUCCAGACCACCAGCAGUUUGAGGAGGUAGAGGAGGAGCUGGAGGACAUCUGGAACCAUAGCAAUGGCUACAGACAGAGUAUCUCCUCUGACAUCAUGUACCAGCCACACCAAGAGGAGAAGGAGGGGGGAAGUAGCAACACCCCAGGACUGACCACAGACCCCCUCUCACCCCCCCAGGCCCAGCCCCAGGCUACCCCCUACAGGAAGCUGAUAACAACUUCUGCCCCUAACCUUCUGGUGGCUGAAUUCACACUCCCCUCCUCCCUCCAAACCCUACUGGGGUACAACCAGGACCAGAACCAGGACCAGGGCUUUAGCCAAGACCCUAACUCCAGAGAAGAGCUCCCUAUGCUGGCUAACAGAGACAUGAGGUCCUGGGCAGCUUUCCCUAUUCAGGACCAACCCUGGAGGACCACACCACUGGUCAAUGAAACGGCAGCAGAACCAGUCAAGCUGCCGGAAAUGGAGGACCAGAAGAGAUAUAUCUACCAUUAUAGAGAGGAGGAGGAAGAGGAUGAGGAGGAGAAGAUGGAGGACACAGGUUGUCCAAAGGACCCAUCAAUGAGUCUGCUGUCUGUCCACAUGGGUCUGCACGGAAACAAUCAGCGAGCUACAAGUUGUGGCACUCUGGAAGGUGUCAUGGAAAAGCAUGGAGAGAGUCUGGCCACAGGGGGGCGAUGUGGCACUAUGAAUGGGAGUGGGUCUGAGCUGCAGACGAUGGAGGGAACUCUGGAGAGGAAACACAAGCUGCAGCUGGGAGGGAAGAAGGCCAGGUCUCGAGCAUGGAGCUCCCAUCAUGCAGUGCUUUACAAACAGACACUCUGCUUCUACCAAGACAGAAAGGAUACACUGAGGAACUGUGUGUGUGGCCUGUCUCUAACCCUGACGGGAGCAGAAUGUGUCUCAGCCCCAGAGAACACUAAGAAACCACAGUGUUUCAGUCUGCGCUUAAGAGAUGGCUCAGAGUACCUCCUCAACACAGCAAACCGAUUCAUGAUGAAGAAAUGGAUGCUGAAAAUACAAGCCAACAGUGUGCCCAGUGAGCAUGUCUCCUCCAUGACGUCACCCAGCGACCUCUUGGUUCAGGACCACCCCGCCCCCUUCACCACCUCUUUCCUCUCACAAAGUACCAGCAGGGGGACGACCAGAGCCAAGGAGAUAGUUGUCCUGACCAGAGAGACCAGAGAGACUCACCGUCAGAUCCCUCAGUUGCACCCAGAGAAACAGCAGGACCCAACAUCCUCAUCACAUACAGGCCGUCGUGAAGAUAACUAUGACUCCCUGAGACAGAAACUGUGUGGUAGAUCCAGGGAGAACAGCCCUUCCUCCUUGCACUCCUCCAUCUCUCCUUUCUCCCUCCACAACUCGUCCUCCAUCCCUCCAUUCUCCCUCCACUCCCCUGUCUCUCCUCCUUUCUCCUCUGUCUAUAGAGGUGGUCAGGACUGGCUCAGUCAAGUGAACAAGUGUCACUCAUUUACCUCAGCAAGGUACCAGAAUAUUAAACCAGCGUUGCUGCCCCCAGGAGGCAGAGGCCGGGACUACGGAUCAGUGGGUCUGGACUGUGGGUCAAACUACUCCGUGACUAUGAUUAUAGGAGACAAGCAGUCUGCCGCCUCUCCCACUCUCAGUUGUGAUGGUAGUGGUCCAUCUAUCACCAGUCACACUGACCCACAGCGCCCCCUGCUGGAUGGAUGGCAGCACCACUCAUAUCACCAGGACUCUACUACAAGAAGGCAGCUUCACCGGCACCAAGCAAUGUACCACCACGACCAGGAACCAUCUCUGAGGUCCUGCACCGGUCUGCCUCCGCCACGCAAGAAGUCUGUCUUCAACAAGUUCUUUGGGAAGAAAGACUGA